AUCCCUGGGCCUGGGCCUACCUAGGUGAAGACAGGCAUUUUUGUUUUCCUGCCCGGAUGUUGCAUUUCCCAAGACCACCCUGGCCUGCCAUGCCCUCAUCCUGUGCCUUUAAAAACCCCCGAGACCCUGGCAGGCAGACGCACAAGCAGCUGGACAUUGAGAGGAGCAUAUAGGCAGAGAAUACAGGGGCUGCUGGAUGUCGAAAGGAACGCACCAGCAUAGGAGCACACCGGCAUGCUGGCAGGCCAUUGACCAGCGGAAGAAUGCAGAGUUUGUCGCGGGAGGUCAGAGAAGAGUCAGGCCGCCAUACCUGACUCCAGGAGAAAACCGUCUCCCUUCUGGUUCCCCCGUCUGCCGAGAGCUACUUCCACUCAAUAAAACUUUCCACUCAUUCUUCAAGCCCACGUGUGAUCCAAUUCUUCCCGUACACCAAGGUCUCGCUGUGUUUCCCAGGCUGGGUGCAGUGGCUAUUCAAAGGUACAAUGAUAGCUCACUGCAGCCUGGAACUCCUGGACUCAAGCGAUCCUCCUGCCUCAGCUGCGACUAACAGGUCAAAACAGUCACAAGCCUGCUCAAAUUCGGAAAGAGGGGACGGAAAUGGAACCUCUUCAUGGGAGGAAGAAACAGGGUCUUGCUCUGUUGCCCUGGCUGGAGUGCAAUGGUAUGAUCAUAGCUCACAGUAGCCUUGAACUCCUGGGCCCAAGCCAUCCUCCUACCUCAGCAACCAGAGUAGCUGGGAUUACAGGCGAAUGCCACCACACCUGGGUAAUUUCUUUUUCUUUUUCUUCUUGUUUUUAUUAGAGAUAGGAUCAUGCUAUGUUGCCCAAGCUGGUCUUGAACUUCUGGCCUCCAGCAGUCCUCCUGCCUGAGCCUCCCAAGUAGCUGGGAUUACAGGCAUGAGCCACCAGUCCUGGCAGAUUUGUUAAUUUCUUUGAAUUAUUAUAUAUUUUUAAGUUUACUUCCAUGUAUUUGACUUUUUGUGUGCUUAUAACUGG
RNAcentral lists this long non-coding RNA (995 nucleotides) under Homo sapiens (human). RNAcentral describes it as "non-protein coding lnc-NEIL3-6:7". The record is from RNAcentral. Lineage: Eukaryota; Metazoa; Chordata; Mammalia; Primates; Hominidae.